Molecule: non-coding RNA, 1819 nt
Organism: Benincasa hispida (wax gourd)
Lineage: Eukaryota; Viridiplantae; Streptophyta; Magnoliopsida; Cucurbitales; Cucurbitaceae
Source: RefSeq, a predicted model, not a curated record
AUUUCCUUUUUUUUCUCUUCCUCUCCCCCCUUCCUUCUUCCAGCUGCCAGAUCCCCCCAUCUCCAUCUCUCUUUCUCUCGCGUCUCUCCCUCUCUACAACCCAUGUCGUGCGUCUCCCAGUCAAAACCACCACCUGCCCAGCGCUGCUCCUCCACGCGCUGCACGUUGUUCACUAGCCAUCUAGCACCGCUACAAUAGUUGUUCCCUUCGCCAAGUCAUCUGCAACUGAGCCGCCACGUUAAAUCCGUUCGUCCAGAGUUCACCCAGCCACAUCCCAAUCGCCCGCUCCCUUACACCACACCGGACGCCGCCCCAACCGCUUGUGUCACCUCCUUCAGUCUCUAUUCAUCGCAGCCAUUGAUUUAGAUCGACCCUCGACGUCAGCUUUAAAGCCUGCAGCUAUUCACCGUCCCCAACACAGAGGGUUGUCGAAAUCUCUAUGAUUUUGGAAUUUUGGAGCUUUGGAAGGUGCGAGGUACUGUCCAGUAAUUGUUGUGGUCAUAUGACAAUUUAUUGGAUUGAUUCAAGUUUUCCAAAGAUUUCAAAGGAGAAUAAUUUGUGGACUAAUAUUUUUACCAAAUUUGAGAUUGAAAGAAUUUUGGAGUUUUGGAAGGUGCAAGGUGCUGUCCAGUAAGUGUUGUGGUCAUAUGGCAAUUUAUUGGUAAGUUUUGGGAUUUUAACCCUUUGGGCUCUUUUGGAUUAAGGGAGAUUGUUGAAAAUGUGGUUAUUAAACUUUGGUUUUGAUUUAUGAUCAGAUUGGACAAAUAAAUUAGACUUUGGGACUGACUUCAAACCAAACCAUGAUUUUGGUAAGAUAAAUUGGGGACUUUUUUUUUAUUUAAUUGGUUAAUUGGAUUUAGACCCUAACGGACAAGUUUAAAAGCUUGGGGAUGCGUGAUUUUAAGCCAUGGUUGCUAAAUAAAAUUUGGCAAUGUUUGUUUUAGGAUUGAUUCAAGUUUUCCAAAGAUUUCAAAGGAGAAUAAUUUCGUGGACUAAUAUUUUUACCAAAUUUAAGGUAAGUAAUCUUCCUACUGAAACUACCCACGGGCCAGGCACUAGAUGUAUGCUAGCAUGACAGAGUGAUAUUAUGACAGAACGAUAGCAUGAUAGACUAAUAGUAUAGUAUAACCGAUAUAUGUUCUUGUAUGAGGAUCUGAAGAAUUUAUUUGUGCACAUAGAUACUUGAAUACUAGCAUGAGAUGAUAUUUGAUUCCAUGAGGUUCUAUUUGAUCUGAGGAUGUUGAGACAUAUAUGUAUGUUGUAGAGCCAUGAUGUUGAGAUGUAUAUGUAUGUUAUAGAACCAUGUUGUGAUACUUGUGGUGUUAAGAUUGUGACCUUGUCCUCAUUGAUUAGUUAGAUGCCCACUAGAUGUUGUGUUUCUUUGGGAUUCACUAGAGGUGGUGUUUUAUCCUUCGGGGUUCACCAGAGGUUGUGUUUCCUUCGAGAUUCACCAAGCUUGUGUUUCCUUCAAAAUUCACUAUAUGUUGUGGUUUCCUUCAGGAUCCACCAGAGGUUAUGUUUCCUUCGGGAUUCACCAGAGGCUAUGGGUCCUAUGGGACUUACUAGAGGUAGUGGGCAUACUUAACUAGGAUAAAAAUCAGUUUUUCAUGUAUGUAUGUGUUCCAUGAGAACUAGAGAAGAUUAUAUGUUCCACCAGAGGUAGGCAUCUAAAGGACAUGGAUGUCUAGCCUGACUCCAGUAGUGGGGUUACUUACUGAGUAUUUUGUACUCAUCCUUUCUCAUGUUGUUGUUUCAAGUAAAGGUAGAGAUGCAUCGACGAUUGACAAGCGGAAUCCAUGAUCGAGCCGCUGGGACUAGU